GAUGAACGCUGGCGGCGUGCCUAAUACAUGCAAGUCGAGCGAACAGACGAGGAGCUUGCUCCUCUGACGUUAGCGGCGGACGGGUGAGUAACACGUGGAUAACCUACCUAUAAGACUGGGAUAACUUCGGGAAACCGGAGCUAAUACCGGAGAAUAUAUUGAACCGCAUGGUUCAAUAGUGAAAGACGGUUUUGCUGUCACUUAUAGAUGGAUCCGCGCCGCAUUAGCUAGUUGGUAAGGUAACGGCUUACCAAGGCAACGAUGCGUAGCCGACCUGAGAGGGUGAUCGGCCACACUGGAAUUGAGACACGGUCCAGACUCCUACGGGAGGCAGCAGUAGGGAAUCUUCCGCAAUGGGCGAAAGCCUGACGGAGCAACGCCGCGUGAGUGAUGAAGGUCUUCGGAUCGUAAAACUCUGUUAUUAGGGAAGAACAAAUGUGUAAGUAACUAUGCACGUCUUGACGGUACCUAAUCAGAAAGCCACGGCUAACUACGUG
Molecule: ribosomal RNA, 497 nt
Filed under: uncultured bacterium
Lineage: Bacteria
Description: partial 16S ribosomal RNA
Rfam family: Bacterial small subunit ribosomal RNA
Source: RNAcentral